RNAcentral lists this transfer RNA (72 nucleotides) under Cricetulus griseus (Chinese hamster). It matches the Rfam family "tRNA". Rfam says of the family: Transfer RNA (tRNA) molecules are approximately 80 nucleotides in length. Their secondary structure includes four short double-helical elements and three loops (D, anti-codon, and T loops). Further hydrogen bonds mediate the characteristic L-shaped molecular structure. tRNAs have two regions of fundamental functional importance: the anti-codon, which is responsible for specific mRNA codon recognition, and the 3' end, to which the tRNAs corresponding amino acid is attached (by aminoacyl-tRNA synthetases). tRNAs cope with the degeneracy of the genetic code in two manners: having more than one tRNA (with a specific anti-codon) for a particular amino acid; and 'wobble' base-pairing, i.e. permitting non-standard base-pairing at the 3rd anti-codon position. Lineage: Eukaryota; Metazoa; Chordata; Mammalia; Rodentia; Cricetidae. The record is from Rfam by way of RNAcentral.
GUGAAUGUGGCUCAGUUGCCAGAGUGCCUGCCUAGUGUGCAUGAAGUCCUGGGUUCAAAUCCCAAUAUCACA